This 497-nucleotide ribosomal RNA is filed under the name uncultured bacterium. Its description in RNAcentral is "partial 16S ribosomal RNA". It matches the Rfam family "Bacterial small subunit ribosomal RNA", at positions 28 to 507 of the family's 1533-position model. The record is from RNAcentral.
GAUGAACGCUGGCGGCGUGCCUAAUACAUGCAAGUAGAACGCUGAAGGAAGGAGCUUGCUCUUUCCGGAUGAGUUGCGAACGGGUGAGUAACGCGUAGGUAACCUGCCUGGUAGCGGGGGAUAACUAUUGGAAACGAUAGCUAAUACCGCAUAACAGUAGAUGUUGCAUGAUAUCUACUUAAAAGGUGCAAUUGCACCACUACCAGAUGGACCUGCGUUGUAUUAGCUAGUUGGUGAGGUAACGGCUCACCAAGGCGACGAUACAUAGCCGACCUGAGAGGGUGAUCGGCCACGCUGGGACGGAGACACGGCCCAGACUCCUACGGGAGGCAGCAGUAGGGAAUCUUCGGCAAUGGACGGAAGUCUGACCGAGCAACGCCGCGUGAGUGAAGAAGGUUUUCGGAUCGUAAAGCUCUGUUGUAAGAGAAGAACGAGUGUGAGAGUGGAAAGUUCACACUGUGACGGUAUCUGACCAGAAAGGGACGGCUAACUACGUG